Long non-coding RNA from Maylandia zebra (zebra mbuna), 613 nucleotides. RefSeq lists it as uncharacterized. The record is from RefSeq and is a predicted model, not a curated record. NCBI's taxonomy places the organism in Eukaryota, Metazoa, Chordata, Actinopteri, Cichliformes, Cichlidae.
CUGACAAAACGUCCUACUUUGGCAAAACGUCCUACCGCAAGUAGUUUAUGCACAUUUCUGUUGUCACAGAUUCAUUCCAGCACAAAUUUUUAGGAUCUUGAACACUGGAAUCUUGAGCUGAUGAUGGUUCUGGACUCAAUAUCGAAGGACCACAAAACUCAGUAGCUGUACUGAAGUUAACAACCAUCAGAUCGUCUUUAUUAUUAUUGCCAACACGAUGGAAAAGAAAUAUUACAUCCUGUUGUUGGAGCUAGAUGGAAACCUAGGGGUUCGUCAACGUUAUCUAGACAUUUCACCCAAAAAAUGUCCUCAUGGUGGUGCUAGAGGUGAGGCCACGGGAUCCACAACAUUACAAGUGGCACUAAUAUUCUUCCUGGCACUUUGCCAUUUAAGUGUGCUAAACAACCAGACAGGCAGCAUGCACAACUGACAUAUGAAAUCUAUUCAUUGUUUGUGUAUGCAGGUACGGACAAACAGAGUCAUUGUUUUUGUAAAAGCAGUGUUCUUUCAGUGUCAUUUCCCAUGAAAAGAAGGGGAAAUGUGUAAGCCUACUGCUUUAAUAUCACUGACCUCUAUCAUAUAAAAUUAUAUAAAAUCAUAUCCGUCAAUGCAA